Molecule: ribosomal RNA, 591 nt
Filed under: uncultured Spirochaetota bacterium
Lineage: Bacteria; Pseudomonadati; Spirochaetota
Description: bacterial SSU rRNA
Rfam family: Bacterial small subunit ribosomal RNA
Source: RNAcentral
AUAAGAUGAGCUUGCGGCUGAUUAGCUAGUUGGCGGGGUAAAGGCCCACCAAGGCGACGAUCAGUAGCCGGCCUGAGAGGGCGAACGGCCACAUUGGGACUGAGAUACGGCCCAGACUCCUACGGGAGGCAGCAGUUAAGAAUCUUGGACAAUGGACGAAAGUCUGAUCCAGCGACGCCGCGUGAACGAUGAAGGUCUUCGGAUUGUAAAGUUCAAUAAGAUGGGACGAAAGAGCGAACGGUAAUAUUGUUCGUGUUGACGGUACCAUCCUAAAGCCUCGGCUAAAUACGUGCCAGCAGCCGCGGUAAUACGUAUGAGGCAAGCGUUGUUCGGAAUUAUUGGGCGUAAAGGGCAUCUAGGCGGGAUGUUAAGUCAGGUGUGAAAGCUAAGGGCUCAACCCUUAAAUUGCAUUUGAUACUGACAUUCUUGAGUUCAGAAGAGGAAGGCGGAAUACCCGGUGUAGCGGUGAAAUGCGUAGAUAUCGGGUAGAACACCGGUGGCGAAGGCGGCCUUCUGGUCUUGAACUGACGCUGACAUGCGAAAGUGUGGGGAUCAAACGGGAUUAGAUACCCCGGUAGUCCACACCGUAAA